RNAcentral lists this unclassified non-coding RNA (222 nucleotides) under Rhizophagus sp. (in: glomeromycetes). RNAcentral's name for it is "partial contains 5.8S ribosomal RNA and internal transcribed spacer 2". The stretch from base 1 to 65 matches the Rfam family "5.8S ribosomal RNA", at positions 84 to 154 of the family's 154-position model. Lineage: Eukaryota; Fungi; Glomeromycota; Glomeromycetes; Glomerales; Glomeraceae. The record is from RNAcentral.
GUGAAUCAUCGAAUUUUUGAACGCAAAUUGCGCUCUCUUCGGAGAGGAUGCCUGUUUGAGGGUCAGUAUUAAUAAAAAUCGGAGUGUUGCUUCUUUUUGACGCUCCGGAGUUUGGGUCAUCUUAAUAUCCUUGAGGUUUUAAGAGGCUUAAAAUGGUCUUUUUUUCCGCAUUUUAGAUGUACUUAAGUUCUUUUUUUUAUUAGUCUGUCUUCAUUCUCACAA